RNAcentral lists this ribosomal RNA (252 nucleotides) under uncultured bacterium. Its description in RNAcentral is "partial 16S ribosomal RNA". It matches the Rfam family "Bacterial small subunit ribosomal RNA", at positions 524 to 776 of the family's 1533-position model. The record is from RNAcentral.
UACGUAGGUCCCGAGCGUUGUCCGGAUUUAUUGGGUUUAAAGGGUGCGCAGGCGGCACGGCAAGCCGGCGGUCAAAUCGCGGGGCUCAACCCCGCCCAGCCGUCGGAACUGCCGGGCUAGAGUGGGCGAGAAGUGCGCGGAAUGCGUGGUGUAGCGGUGAAAUGCACAGAUAUCACGCAGAACUCCGAUUGCGAAGGCAGCGCACCGGCGCCCUACUGACGCUCAGGCACGAAAGCGUGGGUAUCGAACAGG